This 87-nucleotide transfer RNA is filed under the name Flavobacteriaceae bacterium. RNAcentral describes it as "tRNA-Ser". It matches the Rfam family "tRNA". From Rfam's summary of the family: Transfer RNA (tRNA) molecules are approximately 80 nucleotides in length. Their secondary structure includes four short double-helical elements and three loops (D, anti-codon, and T loops). The record is from RNAcentral. Lineage: Bacteria; Pseudomonadati; Bacteroidota; Flavobacteriia; Flavobacteriales; Flavobacteriaceae.
GGAGGGGUGCCAGAGUGGUAAUGGAGCAGAUUGCUAAUCUGUCAACGUGCAAGCGUUGCCUGGGUUCGAAUCCCAGUCCCUCCGCAA